RNAcentral lists this signal recognition particle RNA (99 nucleotides) under Bacteroidia bacterium. RNAcentral's name for it is "signal recognition particle sRNA small type". It matches the Rfam family "Bacterial small signal recognition particle RNA". From Rfam's summary of the family: The signal recognition particle (SRP) is a universally conserved ribonucleoprotein involved in the co-translational targeting of proteins to membranes. Archaeal SRP consists of a 7S RNA and homologues of the eukaryotic SRP19 and SRP54 proteins. The record is from RNAcentral. Lineage: Bacteria; Pseudomonadati; Bacteroidota; Bacteroidia.
GGCCAAGUCCUCCGCAAUGAUGUCGUACCCAACCCCGCCAGGUCCGGAAGGAAGCAACGGCCGGUAUCGGAUCAUGUGACGGGGGGUAGCUUGGCCUUU